Molecule: ribosomal RNA, 234 nt
Filed under: uncultured bacterium
Lineage: Bacteria
Description: partial 16S ribosomal RNA
Rfam family: Bacterial small subunit ribosomal RNA
Source: RNAcentral
UGAGUAACCUGCCCUUAACUCUGGGAUAAGCCUGGGAAACUGGGUCUAAUACCGGAUAUGACUCCUCAUCGCAUGGUGGGGGGUGGAAAGCUUUAUUGUGGUUUUGGAUGGACUCGCGGCCUAUCAGCUUGUUGGUGAGGUAAUGGCUCACCAAGGCGACGACGGGUAGCCGGCCUGAGAGGGUGACCGGCCACACUGGGACCGAAACACGGCCCAGACUCCUACGGGAGGCAG